RNAcentral lists this long non-coding RNA (1094 nucleotides) under Homo sapiens (human). RNAcentral describes it as "HSALNT0085550". The record is from RNAcentral. Lineage: Eukaryota; Metazoa; Chordata; Mammalia; Primates; Hominidae.
CCUGGCUCAAAAGCUCCCCUACUGAGUACCUUGUGACCCCCACUCCUGCCCGCCAGAGAACAACCCCCCUUUUUCCUUUACCUACCCAAAUCCUAUAAAACAGCCCCAUCCUAUCUCCCUUCGCUGACUCUCUUUUCGGACUCAGCCCGCCUGCACCCAGGUGAUUAAAAGCUUUAUUGCUCACACAAAGCCUGUUUGGUGGUCUCUUCACACGGACGCGCAUGAAAGAAAUUACUUUUUUUCAAGAAUGAGUUCAUGUCCUUUGCAGGGACAUGGAUGAAGCUGGAAGGCACCAUUCUCAGCAAACUAACACAGGAACAGAAAACCAAACACCGCAUGUUUUCACUCAUAAAUGUGUCCGCAUUUGGUACAACGUUCGUCAAAGAGGAUGAGGUUACCGGGAUUGUCACUGAUGUGUUUAAAUGACUGCGCCAGCCUCCAGAGAAUAAGAUCUGUAUUCAUUGAUUCAUUUAACCAAUAUUCAGGUGACUACCACAUGCAAUACCACACUCUUAUCUAGGCAACUUGAGUCACUGAGCUCAGUCCAGAAUCUUGAUGACUGAAUGGAAACACCAAGGAGGUGGGUGGCUCAAGAGCACGAGAGCUCUUGUUCCAUUUUCUUGCAGUUUCUUUGUAAGCAUGGAAUCUUUUAAUGUGUCCUGUGGUGUUUAGAUUGCUCAUAGACCCUAACAUUAGAGUUAAUUCUUGUUCAGUUUUGGUAGAUUUUAGUUCCAUUGGAGACUAAUGAGAACACUGAAAACAAAGCAAAAAUAGAAGAAUAGUUAUUCUAUUGGCAGAAAUGGCAAACCUAGUUAUAAGUUAUCAAAAUUAGAAUGUAAUUAAAGUUAUUCUGAUAGUGAUACUGAAGCUAUUUAUUCUCAUAGUACUGUUUUAUUUAUGAAUUUGAGCUAUUGUUAUUAUGCAAAGCUAAUAUUUACAUGUUUUUGUUUUGUUCUGUUUUACUUUUUCCAUUAUUUUUCUAGGCAAGGAAUAUCAAGUAAUAAUCAUCUAGGCAAUGGCAUCUAUUUUUUUUUUCCAUAGGUCUCAUAGUGUUAAGAUUUCCUUUAUGGUCUUACUCUUAUCUCUCUGUUUUG